Long non-coding RNA from Alligator mississippiensis (American alligator), 4357 nucleotides. RefSeq lists it as uncharacterized. The transcript has 9 exons. The record is from RefSeq and is a predicted model, not a curated record. Lineage: Eukaryota; Metazoa; Chordata; Crocodylia; Alligatoridae.
GUAACACUUGGAGUUCAUGUAUCAUUGUGGCGGUGUUUUUCUGAUCCAAUGGCAGAUUCCUCAGUAGCAUGAUGCAGUGAUUGCCAAGAAAUUAAUUAUGACAGCCAUUGUGGUGAAUGUGUGCCUCUGUAGUCAUCUGCUGCUGACUGAGUGACUGCAAACCUCCUGCUUCAAAGAUGGUUGAGGUGAUUUAAUAGAUAUGCAAUGGUUUGGGGAAUCUUGCAGAAGAAGAUUGAUAGGGCUCUUUGCAUCCAGCCUUGGAUAAUUACGAACCUAGUCGAGUGCAAUGUCUAGUCUUCCAGAAUAAGGAAUGAGGUCACAUCAGUGCUGGCUCUUACUGGGACAGUUUAUCUGGCGGAGAAAAAUUCAAUGGGGGGUAUUUCUCAGUAUAUUUAAAUGUGUGAUUUACAUUGGACGAGCCAUCACUUGACUGAGGAAUGAGAAGAGAGAAUUUUAUAUAGUGCCUGUAUGUUUGAUGUAUCUGAGUCAAAAGUUGAGGAGAUUUUGACACGAUCAUUUACAAGCCCGUUGUAAAGUGACAGUUUUAACUGAUCUUCUUCAGAGGCCAAAAUGGCACAACCUGAGUUGAAACAUGACUAUGAUGCUGUAGUAUGAAUGCCAGAUAAGCAGGGAUCCUGGUUUUCUCUGACUUAAAAAAAUCCCCAAUUUUUGGAUAAAAAGAAGUAACCUCAAAUCUACAUUUUCCUGUGAUUUAAAUGAAACACCGCUAAUACACACAUGCGCGCACGCACACACACACACACACAAAUAUAUAGUGAUGUUUCAUUUUAAUUAUGGAAAAAUGUGGAUUUGGGGUUGCUUUUUUAACUGAAAAUUGGGGACUUUUUUUUUAAUUCAGAGAAAACCAGGAUACCUGCAGAUAAGGAAUAGAUUCUAAAUAGACUAUUUAGGCUGAAACUUUAUAUCUAAAAAUAUAAGGAAGUUCUAAGAAAGAGUAAUUUGCACUUUAAAGCAAAGACUUGUUUGUGGUCAUUGCUAUUAAGUAAAUACCUUACAAUCUUUGUUCAAAAUUGCUAAGCAUGCUAAAUUGAUUCCACCAUCCUUUCUUCUUUUUUUUUGUGGGAUGAGGAUGCUGAAAUGAAUUUCACAAAGUUGAAGUUUCGAUUUAUUUGCUUUGUUUGAUUUAAAAUAUGGAUCCCAAGAUGAGAGAGAUAAAUAUCAUGGCACCUGGUAAAAAAUAAUUAUUAGAUUCUCUUAGAUAGAUAGUGUAGUUACUUAUUAUUGACCAGCAACUACUCCCAUUGAAAUAAUGGAGGUCUGCCACUGACCAAAAAGGCCUGAUUUUAUCUAAUCUGAGGCUACUUUACACUGCACUGGUUGUGUAAGUGAAAUAUAAUUUUCUCCCAUUAUAACAGCCAUAGUGCUAUAAAGUGUCUUUAGUGCAAACAAAAAUCCCAGUAGGAACAAGAUGGGGACAUAUAUUUGGCAUUUCUUCCAAUUUAAACCACGUAAAGUGCAUCUAUAUGGCACAGUGAUAGGUGACCUUCUAAAAGUUUAGAGACAUAGUAAUCAUAUUUAAUAAACACACUAUUCUCCCUGUCUUAGCAAGGAGCUAACAUCUUUGACUGUGUAAUGGGAGACACAAGGCCCCGUUAUGAAAUAGGGUGAAAAAGGGCAUUAACCCCCUCAAGAGUGAAACACAGGGUAGGUCAUGCUCCUUUUUUUCUGACAAUAUAAGCUUGCCACUGCCUGAAUUGGGGAAUUGCUUGCAGGACAGCCUGGAAGGAAGAGCUCAGGAUGGAGCAGAGGCUAAAGCUGGAUCCAAGGAACUGAGGAGCCUGAUACAAAGCCUGAAGAACAUGUGAAGAAGAUGCUUCAAGAUAUGUCACUUAAGAUUUUGUUUUGCCCAUUGCUCUGAUGAUAUUGUCACCUCUACUGAUGCCCCACAACAUGAAGAAACAUCCAGACAAGGAUUGAAAGAAUCUUGGUCACACUCAGCAGGUGAUUCAAAGGGCUUUUACCUUUAUGAGGGUCUCUCAUGAGCCAGUUGGAACUAAGAAGAAACCUUCUGUCAGAAUCUUUGGCUCUGAGUGACUGCUGAGCAACACACAGUACCAGGUAUAAAACAAAUAAAGAAAACACCCAGAAUGCAAGAAAGGAGAAACUCUCCAAAUGAGAAGGACAGUGCUCUAACUUCAAGCCACAAGUGCCACCAAAAAAGUAAGAUAGUCAGAAGAAACGUGGACUACAUAUGCUAGGCAUAUCAAGAAACUGAAUAGCUUCCACAGUGGGGAUCGCCCCCCGCCUGGCAGGAGCCACCCUUUCCACAAUUCUAAGCACUGGGAAGAGAUGAGAGGAGCAAAAUAAGGAUGAAAGACCUAAAGGACUUGAAGACGGCUAGAACUUUCCAAAGGGGAUGGUGUGCUGUGAAAGGGAAGAUAAUGAGCCACUCAGAAAUCUGACAAGCUCCCCGAAGUGGAAAAGUUGUCCUGUAAGUGUUUAAGAUACUACAGCGCCUGGCAACUUUUGACAACUGCAAGUGAUGAGGAAUAGGUGGCUGAUACCUGAACAAAGAGGAAUGUCAGCUUCGAAGUUAGUAUAUGGAAACGUUUUCGUGCACAAACAAAGGAGUAAAAAUACAAUGUGGCUCUAUAAAUACAGUGGGCUGAUAAGUCUAUUGAGCUUGUGAGUCAGCUUUUCAGUCAGCUGAAAUGAUUAGGUGCAGAUUGCUAUCGGGCUAACCACUAUUCUUCUAAUGCGUUUUAUCUCUCUGACUUGCCACCUUAUUAUUAAAUUCAAAUAACCAAAAUUAGGGGGAAUUAUGGUGUUUGCUUCCUCUAUAGCUACUUUAAACUACGCUUGAAAAUAAAUACAGCCUCUUAAGACCGUGCCUCACCGGAGGGCUUGCAAAGAUAUAAUGUAAUUCAUGCCAAACACCAGGGCUGCAUGUUUGGAGGAAACGUAGCUGCUUACAGUAAACACAGUCUCAGCUUUGUGAAAUGAAUACACGCGUGCUGAAGGAUUUCUCAGACAAGAGCAUUUUGAACUGGUUUGCUAGACUACAGCAUCGCAUUUGGAAGGAGUAUUGAUGGUGUUUGCAGCGAAAAUGCCGCCGGCUAGGUGUGCUGCGCGGGCCGCAGGACCGUGCCACCGAGCUGGCUCCGCGUCAGAACUGACAGGUCAGACGCAAGGAAAUGACAUGCGGCGAGAUUGCUUUCUCGUUAUCUUCAGGGACCAUAUCGGGACCAGGGCGUUUGCAGAACAUGGGACCCCUACACACACACACACACACACACACCUGUGCUCACGUGACAUUAAUGGCUGAAAUGAGCAAGUAAAACCUCCUAGUCCUGUUGAAGAGUCCAAGGCAAAGAGCGUGAUGCUUGGUGCGAGGAGCUCAGGUUUGGUCCAGUCGAAGGCUCUGAGAAAAUCCCCAUUGACUGCAGCCAGACGCAGCCUGCGCCUUAUAACCAGAGAUUCUGGUUUUCUCUGAUUUUUUUUUUAUCCCCAUUUUUCGGAUAUAAAAAGGUAACUCAAAAUCCACAUUCUUCCGUGAUUAAAAUGGAACACCACUAAGACAUAUAGAUAUAUAGAUAUAGAUACACAUACACGAAACAUCACUAUACAUAUAGAUAGAUAUAGAUCUAUCUAUAUUUAACCUCUCUCCCUCUCUCUCUCUCUCUACACAUAUAGAUAUCUAUAUCUAUAUCUAGAGAGAGAGAGAGAGAGAGAGAGAGAGAUCUAUAUAUCUGUAUUUCUACGAUCAAGUGCUUUCAAGAGGUUUGGACAAAGUGAUAGAAAGGCUUGGUGACUGCUCUUGGAGCAGGUGUGGACCUAAAGGCUCUCCCUCAGUGAAGGGAGAGGUCAGGCUCCCAUUCCGGCUUCACACACACACACACACACACACACACACACACACACACACACACACACACACACACUAGUGGCGUGUCAUUUUAAUCACGGAAAAAUGUGGAUCUUGGGUUACUUUUUUAUAUCCGAAAAAUAGGGAUAUUUUUUAUCAGAGAAAACCAGGAUCCCUGCUAAUAACAGGGUAUGUGAAGCCUGACUGGAAGCCCGACCUCUCCCUUUACUGAGGCCUUAGGUCCACGCCUGCUCCAGGAGCAGUCACCAAGCCUUGCUAUCACUUUGUCCAAACCUAGUGAAAGCACUUGACUGUAAAAAUACAGACUUGAAUCUAUAUCUUCAAGACAUCUGCGUAUCCUUGAGCGAUCUGCGGUUACAACGCGUGUUAGAUGCAAGAGAGGUCUUUGAAACCAGACCUUUGUAUAUAGAAUUUCAUUUCCAGCUUGAAAAAUACACUUCUCCCAGUAUAUAGCAGUUCAUAGAUGUCAGCCUGUGAAAGAAGAAUGUAAAAGUAAUAUAUGACCGAUAA